CUCUUUAGAUCUUUUGAAACUUGGAAGCAUGUCAUUUUCCUAAAGGAAGGCAACAGACACACUAUGCUUGUGACAUAACCAUACAUUAUCAUUAUGUAAAUUAGAUAGUGUGAUUUAUUAUUUAAAGAAAUAUUUCCUCAAUUUUCAGAAUUAUUGUGGAUGAGUUGCUCUGAAUGUGAGGAUAUCAAUAUUAAAUGAACAGUAGAUGGAGGGUCUGCAAUUUGCCUCACUGGGAGAGAUAUUUACAUUGAGGAGAUCAAACAUUUUAAGUAUUUGAAUACUUGAAAGAUUUGGAGGAAAGUUGUAGCAUCAUCUGGUAGCUUUUUAACAUUGUUAAGCUACAGAUGAAUUUGUAUUCAUGGAGGGGACUUUCCACCUUGGGAUGAAGGUAACAGUUGCACAGUGCAAGGUCCUGUGCUUGUGAAAUCAUGUGUUUAUGCCAUUGGGAAAAAUUAAUCCUAAAGUACCAAUAUUUGCCCAUCAUCCCAUUGCAUUGGGUCUCUGCCAAGAAUUUUCCCCUAGAAGUCAUCCCAUCUUUGCCAUGCAGUUUCAAUCUCUGUCUCCUCUCUCUGUCUCUCUCUCUGUCUCUCUCUCUCUCUCUCUGUCUCUCUCUCUGUUCUUGUCUCUGUCUCUGUCUCUCUGUCUCUGUCUCUCUGUCUCUGUCUCUCUCUCUCUCUGUUCUUAUCUCUGUCUCUGUCUCUCUGUCUCUCUCUGUCUCUCUGUCUCUCUCUCUGUUCUUGUCUCUGUCUCUCUGUCUCUGUCUCUCUGUGUCUCUUUUCUGUCUCUCCCUUCCCAUCCAGGCUGCAAGCAUACUCAGCAUUCUUCAAAUCUAUCUUUAUUUAGAUGUAUGUGUAUACUAGCAUAACAUAGAGGCGUAUUCAGUCUACAUGUUCAUGUAUACAUGUGUAUAUGUGCACAUGUAUAUACUUAUGGGUGUUUUAUCAUAUGCUUUCAUAAAUAUAUUAUACAUUUGUAUGGCCUUGUGGUUGUUGUGUUGCAUGUAUUUGUUAAUAUUUACACAUAUACAAGCAUGUACAUAUGGGCUUUGUAUGCAUUGCAUGUGUAUUUAUUAGUAUAUUGCAUAGAUUAUUGUAACAUAUGCAUAGGCUUACAUGCAUCACAUCGUUUGUAUAUUUAUUUAUCUGUGUGCAUAUAUGUAAUGUACUUACAUGUAGGGGGUUAAAUGUUGCAUGUAUAUUUAUUGGUAUAUGUGGUGUGUGCAUUUUAUGUAUAUUUAUUAGCAUAUAUGUAUGUAUUUGUACAUGUAUGUGUAGGUUACACAUUAUCAUAUUUUUGUAUGUUUUAGCAUAUGGGUAUAUAUAUGUAUGAACAUAUGUGUGUAUGUGUAUUCAAAGUCAGAGUUCAGGGAAGCAGGGGAAGGAAGUGGGAGAUCAAGGAGAGCAAGCUAGAUGGAGAAGCUGGCAUUUUAGCAAGGCUCUGAAGGAUGAGCAAGAUUUCAAGCAUUUCUUCAGUUUCAAUAUCCCCCUAAACUCUUCCAUCCACUCUGAUUGUUCAGUUAAGUUCUCUCUACUGAAUGAUUACAAAUUUCGGGUCCCUUGAGGUGUUAUUGGCUCUUCAGGACAGCACUACUCUCUGUUUGAAGGUUGAUCCAUUUUCUAGAGUCUUGGGCUGAUGAAGAUUCUUGAAGCAGAGCAUUUUGAAAAAUAAAAAUGGUCUCCCUGACA
Monodelphis domestica (gray short-tailed opossum) is the source of this 1685-nucleotide long non-coding RNA. The record is from Ensembl. NCBI's taxonomy places the organism in Eukaryota, Metazoa, Chordata, Mammalia, Didelphimorphia, Didelphidae.